This is a non-coding RNA of Arachis ipaensis, 177 nucleotides long. The record is from RefSeq and is a predicted model, not a curated record. NCBI's taxonomy places the organism in Eukaryota, Viridiplantae, Streptophyta, Magnoliopsida, Fabales, Fabaceae.
UGUCCUUCUCGGGAUAGCGUCAUUUAAACAACGAGGGUAAGCAGAAUGAAAAAAAACAGAAAAAAAAACUGGAGGAGCCUACUGAAGAUGGGACUAUUACGGCUCGCGUUUUGGUGUCCUCCUCGGGAUAGCGUCAUUUAAAGAACGAGGGUCAGCACAAUGUAAAAAAAAACCGGA